Molecule: transfer RNA, 65 nt
Filed under: Acheta domesticus (house cricket)
Lineage: Eukaryota; Metazoa; Arthropoda; Insecta; Orthoptera; Gryllidae
Description: tRNA-Phe
Source: RNAcentral
ACUUAAAUAGCUUAUAUGAAGAGUAUAACAUUGAAGAUGUUAAGGAGAUAUAAUAUCUUUAGGUA